CUCAAUCAGAGCUUCCCGUUCUUCCCUCAAACAGCCGCAAAAUGUUCUUCGAGCUAUCAAUCUUCUCUCAACGGCGAGAAAUCUAGGCGGGAUGUUUAGAGAAAAGAGAGGAGUCCUAAUUAGGAUUCUUCUUAACCCAAGCGAGAUCGAAGGCAAUAUAAAAGGGAUACUGCUCCUUUGAUCACCACACAAUUGACUACUCUCUCGUCUCCAUAAGGUUGAGUAUGUAUGAAUGUAUGAUGUUAGUUUUUUCUUUUCCAAUUUCUUCGAUUUUCUUGAUUUGACUUUUGAUUUUUUUUUUCUUUUGUCGAAGUGGAGAUUACAGGUGUUCUUCGGUCAAUUCUCCAGUGUUCAAUUUGCAAGGAGAUAAUGACUACCAGAAAGCUAUCCAAGUUGGAGCACUUUGAAACAGAUGAAAAGAUGGCGAAGAGAUGAAGAUAGUGUCAAUCAAUGCAGACAAUUUGGAACAUGAGGAAUUUGAUGAAGAUGAUGAAUUUUGAUUCGUAAAGUGGUUUUGAGCAAUAAUUAGUUUAGGUUUUAGCUAGUCUUGGUAAACAAUUCUUUUUUAUUAACUAUUAUUAUUUUUGGGUAGAAUAUUUGUAGACUUUAUUUGGGUUAUGAUUUAGUAAGUCUUCGAAUAUUAUUAUUUGCAGAUGAAUAUUAUUAAUAAAGUUUUUUUUUAA
Molecule: long non-coding RNA, 683 nt
Organism: Rosa chinensis
Lineage: Eukaryota; Viridiplantae; Streptophyta; Magnoliopsida; Rosales; Rosaceae
Exons: 3
Source: RefSeq, a predicted model, not a curated record